Molecule: ribosomal RNA, 431 nt
Filed under: uncultured bacterium
Lineage: Bacteria
Description: partial 16S ribosomal RNA
Rfam family: Bacterial small subunit ribosomal RNA
Source: RNAcentral
AACGAACGCUGGCGGCAGGCUUAACACAUGCAAGUCGAACGCCCCGCAAGGGGCGUGGCAGACGGGUGAGUAACACGUGGGAACAUGCCCAAAGGUACGGAAUAUUCUCGGGAAAAUGAGAGCAAUACCGUAUGUGCCCGAAAGGGGAAAGAUUUAUCGCCUUUGGAUUGGCCCGCGUCGGAUUAGCUAGUUGGGGGGGUAAAAGCCUACCAAGGCGACGAUCCGUAGCUGGUCUGAGAGGACGCCCAGCCACACUGGGACUGAGACACGGCCCAGACUCCUACGGGAGGCAGCAGUGGGGAAUCUUGGACAAUGGGCGCAAGCCUGAUCCAGCCAUGCCGCGUGGAUGAUGAAGGCCCUAGGGUUGUAAAAUCCUUUCGUUGGGGACGAUAACGACGGUACCCAAAGAAGAAGCUCCGGCUAACUUCGCG